AUGGUCAGUAGGACAGAGGGUAACAUUGAUGACUUGCUCAUUGGUGGAAAUGCUUCCGCUGAAGGACCUGAGGGCGAACAUUCGGAAAGCACAGUUAGCACUGGUGUUGAUAUUGUCAUGAAACCAGUGAUAACUGCAGGAAACCAGCUUCACAAAAGAAACCUACAAGAAGUACAUCAAAGAUUACAUGAAGUCAAUCAAAGGCAAACUUGAAGAACAGAGACCAGAAAGAGUAAAACCUUUUAUGACAGGGGCUGCAGAACAAAUCAAGCACAUCCUGGCUAAUUUCAAAAACUACCACUUCUUUAUUGGUGAAAACAUGAAUCCAGAUGGUAUGGUUGCUCUCCUGGACUACCGUGAGGAUGGUGUGACCCCAUAUAUGCUUUUCCUUAAGGAUGGUUUAGAAAUGGAAAAAUGUUAACAAAUUUGGCGAUUACUUUGGAUCUAUCACCAGUCAUCAUAACCGGCUGCUGCUUGUCAUCCACACAACACAAGGGCUUAAGACAAACCGGAUUGAUGUCAUCUUGAGCUCUUGGUUUAUUUUGACCGUGAUUUAUUUGGAGUGGAGGCAUUGUUUUUAAGGAAAAACAUGUCAUGUAGGUUGUUUAAAAAUAAAAUGCAUUUAAACU
RNA transcript from Nycticebus coucang (slow loris), 629 nucleotides. It is a transcript of the gene named translationally-controlled tumor protein-like, with no coding region annotated. The record is from RefSeq and is a predicted model, not a curated record. The transcript has a single exon. NCBI's taxonomy places the organism in Eukaryota, Metazoa, Chordata, Mammalia, Primates, Lorisidae.